GCCGGGAUGGCGGAAUUGGCAGACGCGCGCGACUCAAACUCGCGUGGGCUCAGCCCGUGAGGGUUCGACUCCCUCUCCCGGCACGA
This 86-nucleotide transfer RNA is filed under the name Acidobacteriota bacterium. RNAcentral's name for it is "Acidobacteria bacterium tRNA-Leu". It matches the Rfam family "tRNA". Rfam says of the family: Transfer RNA (tRNA) molecules are approximately 80 nucleotides in length. Their secondary structure includes four short double-helical elements and three loops (D, anti-codon, and T loops). Further hydrogen bonds mediate the characteristic L-shaped molecular structure. tRNAs have two regions of fundamental functional importance: the anti-codon, which is responsible for specific mRNA codon recognition, and the 3' end, to which the tRNAs corresponding amino acid is attached (by aminoacyl-tRNA synthetases). tRNAs cope with the degeneracy of the genetic code in two manners: having more than one tRNA (with a specific anti-codon) for a particular amino acid; and 'wobble' base-pairing, i.e. permitting non-standard base-pairing at the 3rd anti-codon position. The record is from RNAcentral. Lineage: Bacteria; Pseudomonadati; Acidobacteriota.